UUAUGAAGUUAGCGGCGGACGGGUGAGUAACACGUGGGUAACCUGCCCAUAAGACUGGGAUAACUCCGGGAAACCGGGGCUAAUACCGGAUAACAUUUUGAACCGCAUGGUUCGAAAUUGAAAGGCGGCUUCGGCUGUCACUUAUGGAUGGACCCGCGUCGCAUUAGCUAGUUGGUGAGGUAACGGCUCACCAAGGCAACGAUGCGUAGCCGACCUGAGAGGGUGAUCGGCCACACUGGGACUGAGACACGGCCCAGACUCCUACGGGAGGCAGCAGUAGGGAAUCUUCCGCAAUGGACGAAAGUCUGACGGAGCAACGCCGCGUGAGUGAUGAAGGCUUUCGGGUCGUAAAACUCUGUUGUUAGGGAAGAACAAGUGCUAGUUGAAUAAGCUGGCACCUUGACGGUACCUAACCAGAAAGCCACGGCUAACUACGUGCCAGCAGCCGCGGUAAUACGUAGGUGGCAAGCGUUAUCCGGAAUUAUUGGGCGUAAAGCGCGCGCAGGUGGUUUCUUAAGUCUGAUGUGAAAGCCCACGGCUCAACCGUGGAGGGUCAUUGGAAACUGGGAGACUUGAGUGCAGAAGAGGAAAGUGGAAUUCCAUGUGUAGCGGUGAAAUGC
This 620-nucleotide ribosomal RNA is filed under the name Bacillus cereus. RNAcentral's name for it is "bacterial SSU rRNA". It matches the Rfam family "Bacterial small subunit ribosomal RNA", at positions 84 to 689 of the family's 1533-position model. The record is from RNAcentral. RNAcentral also lists the same sequence under 1 other name. Lineage: Bacteria; Bacillati; Bacillota; Bacilli; Caryophanales; Bacillaceae.